This is a long non-coding RNA of Antechinus flavipes (yellow-footed antechinus), 2826 nucleotides long. RefSeq lists it as uncharacterized. Lineage: Eukaryota; Metazoa; Chordata; Mammalia; Dasyuromorphia; Dasyuridae. The record is from RefSeq and is a predicted model, not a curated record. The transcript is spliced from 3 exons.
GCAUUCUAGAAGCUAAAAGCCCUCUGUUGCUGGCUAGCAGAAGGCUAACCAAAUAUCAGGCCCUUUUCCUAGACAUUCCCAAUUUAACUCUGGGUGUGUCACAAUCUCCACCCUGCCUCCUUUCUUCCUGACACCAAACAAUCCGGUGACAUUAUUCGUAGUUGUGGGGAAACUUCAGAUUCAGUCUACUCUAGUGGACCUGACUUGAGAGACUCUCCACAACCCAGAUGGUAAAUGGUCCAUUUUCUUGAAGAUAAGGACAGAAAGACCUUCCUGGCACCUCAUGAGAACUCAGAGAAGACCUGAAACUGCUGUUCCUCAGAACCCCUGGAGCACUGGAAAUGGAUGGGGAAAUCACUGGACUUCCUGACCAACACGGUAGGCCAUCCACUCAUUUCUUGUCUUUAGGAUUGGCUGUGCCUGUGCCAACAUCUUCUGCUGUUGUAUGUACUUCAACCCCUGGGGAAAGUUGAACUUCCUACUGCAAGAGUUCCUAAAAAAACAGGAUGGAGGUCAUGAACUUCCAGCCACUUGCUCAACCUGGAUACCAUCUUGUACCUGAUCCAGAGACCUAGCACCUCCUGGAUUCUCCCUAACCUCUUUGUCAAAAAUCUAUCCUCCUCAAUCUGGACCCCACUAGGCAGUGACAUUUCUAGGACCCCUUCCAGCAGAAAAUAACUGCAGAAGAUGAGACCUUCAUCCCUGUUCACCAAAUUAAUUUGGGGCCCAAAUGCUUGAGAGGAGAAUCAAGUAGGGCAUUUCUGAUGAUGUACAAUUUUGAGGUCUGCUAAACUAAUGCAAUUUUCAGGAAUGCUGUAGUAAUGGGCCUAAGGUAUUUAAAACUCUUAAAUACUAAAUCCUGGGGAAAUGACAUAAAACAUAUCCCAAACUAUGUGAAUUCAUUUAGGUGAUAUUCCUUUUGUUACUUUGCAGGGCCAGGUGACUAAGCUCAAAUGAAUGCCAGAGGUAAAGAUAACCAAUGCUGAUUGGUGAAAAUGUUUUUUUUUCUUUUAAUGAAACUAAUGAACAUCAGUAAUGAGAUGCCUAAAGUUUACACAGGCCCAGUAAAUUAAAUACAAGCCCGACAUUUGACAUAGUGAACUUGCAGGCUUAAAAAUACAUCUCUAUAAGUUUUCCCCCAUGAACUCUGGCCAGGGAGCUAUGGGUACUGUAUGUGCCCACCAAAUAAAGACCUGAGCAAUCUUCAACUCCAUAUAACUCGAAUUACUGGCCCUACAAAAUGAUCAACUUAUAGAACUCAAGAAGUGGGGAGGAAGCUAGCUCAGCACUACUUGUGGUUAUUUUAGUAAAUGAUUUUUUAGAUCUAAUAUGGCCUGAAGGUCAGAAAAAUCCUGAGGCUGUAUUCCUCCAACAGCUGCCUUGUAGCAGUUGGAGAGGUCUGGAGUAGAGUCUAGGAUCUCCUGAGUGAUGAACCCCAAAGCUACGUGUUCAGUUAAUAGCUGAUCUGGGAGUGGUGUGGAAGUCUUGAGGACUCGAGCUGCUAGCAGUCUUAAUAUUACAGGUUUAGUCUCAGGAUAGUCAUUGCCCAUGGAAGCUGUUCAAUCAAGUUGAUUUUAAAGGGGAAAAAAAUCCCAAUUUAUUUAAAAAUUAAAUAAAAUUUAAAAUGACAUGUAAAAUGAGACACAUGGGUUUAAAGUCACAAACACAAAAUUCCUUGAAAAAUUAAAAUUUUUCUUUUUUUCAAAAUUUUUUGAAAAACUGAUGUUCACAGUGCCCUUAAGAUUUUUCAUUUGUAUCUGGCUCAUCAAAUGAAGCAGGAAUCCAGAGACCGAAGUCUGGGUGGCACCUGGCUAGCAGUGCUCCUUGGCAAAGAGAGGUCCUAGGCCCAAUAGGGCAGAUGCAGUUUCUUAGUACUUUGCAAAUUACAUAAUUAAGAAAUUCUCUAAAAGGAGCCUGGUGGUUAGCAAUUUCUGACUGGGGCCUUUGGGUGGAAUUGAUCAGAAUCAGCCUUGAAAGGUCCUUUUGCCUGGGACAAUCUCAGGAAGGUGCUCAGGACCCCGAAAGCUGCUCUGCCAGUUGAGGAGUUGUGGGUUGCAACGGCAGGCUGGCUUUUGAGGUUGCACUUUUGAGGAGCACUGCAUUUGGUGACCAAUUUUAUGUCCACCGAGGUUUCCUUUGUGUCCAACCACUGAUGGAAGGGCAGGGCUGGGAUGGCUUCCUGAUGGUCCUGGGGCUCAAAGGGAGGUAAUGGCUCAUCCAUGACUCUGGGAACAGACAAGUGUGGCACAAGCAAAGCCAGGUGUUUGAACCAUGAGGAGGGCACAAGCUCCUUCCUGUAAGGCAGUGAACCUGCUCAUUUUCAGUCUGGCAGUUGGGUGGGGUACAUGCUCAGUGCUGGACAGGGGAUCUUUUUCCCACAAUGGUGAAAUCCAGUGAAGGGGACCUAGUGAUAGCACUGAUUUGGCCUUCUGAAGGAUGCUUUUCUGAGGCAAUAGGACCAAGUAUGUGGAUGAAGAGAACUUAGGAGCAAAGGGGAAGCAAUGAGGAAACACUAUGGGUGGGAAAGACGGCAGAACAGAUAUUAUGAUCUACCAAGAGUGAUAGUUGGCCUUUCAAGGAGAACUGGACCCUUUUCAUUGUGUUCUUGCAUAUGCUUUCAUUUUAUACUUGAAGGAAGCCCAAGAGACAACUUCAUUAUUUCCGAUGUUUCUUAUAAACCACUUAAUUUGUACAAAAUUGUUUGCAUGGAGUCACUUCCAGUUUUUCUUGUAAACCACUUAUUUGUGCAAAAUUGUUUGCAUGGAGCUACUGGGAGCUCCUCCAGGCCAGAGUCUGCUAUAUUCCGUGCUCAGUACGGAUCUUGGC